GCCAGUCAUAGUGCUGUGUGCCUGUAGACUCAGCUACUCAGGAGGCUGAGCAGGAAGACUGAUUGAGCCCAGAGCAUCCGGGCUUUAGUGCACUCUGCCAAUAGGAUGUCUCACUAAAUUCAACAUCAAUAUGGUGACCUCUCAGGAGCAGGGGACCAGCAGGUUGCCUAAGGAGGGGUGAUCCAGCCUGGGCCAGAAAUAGAACAGGACAAAACUUCCAUGCUGAUCAGCAGUGGGAUCACAUCUGUGAAUAAUCAUUGCCAGUCUGGACAACAUGGAAAGACCCUAUCUCUA
This is an unclassified non-coding RNA of Callithrix jacchus (white-tufted-ear marmoset), 294 nucleotides long. It matches the Rfam family "Metazoan signal recognition particle RNA". From Rfam's summary of the family: The signal recognition particle (SRP) is a universally conserved ribonucleoprotein. It is involved in the co-translational targeting of proteins to membranes. The eukaryotic SRP consists of a 300-nucleotide 7S RNA and six proteins: SRPs 72, 68, 54, 19, 14, and 9. NCBI's taxonomy places the organism in Eukaryota, Metazoa, Chordata, Mammalia, Primates, Cebidae. The record is from Ensembl.